AAAGGGAGACCUAAUUCGGGUAUAAGACGAAAAAAAAGUAGUCCCAACCAAGAAUCAAUCCCAAAAGGUCGGAGCGAGGCGAAAUUGGCUUUCAAACUAGGUUCUGGGUUCACAGAAGACCUGAAUCAGGAACAAGGGCUAUUAGCUCAGGUGGUUAGAGCGCACCCCUGAUAAGGGUGAGGUCCCUGGUUCGAGUCCAGGAUGGCCCACCUGCACAGGUGGUAAAAACAAGAGAAGCGAGGAAUCAGCACCUUAUCUUACUUACAUAGUAAGAGAGAAUGCUGGCUCUGAGUACAGAGUCCAGAGGAACCUUGAAAACUGCAUAGAGCUAGGUGAAAAAGCCAAAAAAGAAGACCGCAAG
RNAcentral lists this transfer RNA (361 nucleotides) under uncultured Microcystis sp. RNAcentral's name for it is "partial 16S-23S ribosomal RNA intergenic spacer". The stretch from base 136 to 209 matches the Rfam family "tRNA". Lineage: Bacteria; Bacillati; Cyanobacteriota; Cyanophyceae; Chroococcales; Microcystaceae. The record is from RNAcentral.